GGCUGUACUGAAUCCUAGAUUUCUGCAGGAUGGCACCGUGGAAGGCUGUUUGGAACAGAGGCUUGAAGAAAAUUUGCCUACACGUUGUGGAUUUUGUCAUAUACCAUAUGAUGAACUGAAUAUGCCAUUUCCAGCUCAUCUCACAUAUUGCUAUAACUGCAGGAAACAAAAAGUUCCUGAUGUUCUGUUUACAACUAUAGACCUCCCAACAGAUGCAACAGUUAUUGGAAAAGGUUGUCUUAUUCAAGCAAGGUAUGUUUGUGAAAACAGCAUUUGGUGUCCCUGAAAAAGUAUGAGAUAGGGAGCCAUAAACCUAUUUUCAAGUGUCAGCUUUACUGUUUCCUACCUGUUUGAUCCUGCACAAAUUGGACAAUUCUAUUGGAACUUUGUGUUUUUUUGCAUGUAAAAAAAAACUCUCUGUGUAAAACUCAAAUAAGUUUGUAUACAAAAGCAGUUUUUAACUUUAAAUUCUAUACAAAUAUUUGUCAUUUUGGGAAUUAUUAACCUGCCAAAGGCAAGGGAUGUGACUAAGUAUAGAUUGCUUCAAUGACAUUCAGUAUGUAACACAUUUUAGGAGUUGACUCUUUUUAUCUUUUAAAGAAUAGUGC
RNAcentral lists this small RNA (608 nucleotides) under Pongo abelii (Sumatran orangutan). Its description in RNAcentral is "retained intron". Lineage: Eukaryota; Metazoa; Chordata; Mammalia; Primates; Hominidae. The record is from RNAcentral.